UUGAAUGACUUUGUCUGUAAAUAAUCAACCUGUUAAUAGCCAACGGUUUGAUCUGUAGGCUGACAUUUAGUUCGAGAUGACACUGAUGAUGCUAUACUGUAUGACUGUAAAGCAGCAGCCUCCCACUCAAGCUAGCUAAGCUAACUUAUCCAUCAGUAGUAGCUGUCACAACAUCAUUUAGCGAUUUACCACACUGACAGUGAACAUUCACGUAUCUUAUGUGC
Molecule: long non-coding RNA, 224 nt
Organism: Sebastes umbrosus (honeycomb rockfish)
Lineage: Eukaryota; Metazoa; Chordata; Actinopteri; Perciformes; Sebastidae
Exons: 3
Source: RefSeq, a predicted model, not a curated record